CUACUAUAAAGAGUGCGUGAGGGAGUAAGCCCUAUGAUCGCACACCAACCUACCAAAAGGCAAGGUGGUAAAGCUUAACCGAUGGUGU
Molecule: non-coding RNA, 88 nt
Filed under: Eubacterium sp.
Lineage: Bacteria; Bacillati; Bacillota; Clostridia; Eubacteriales; Eubacteriaceae
Description: SAM-I sequence
Rfam family: SAM riboswitch aptamer (S box leader)
About the family: The SAM riboswitch is found upstream of a number of genes which code for proteins involved in methionine or cysteine biosynthesis in Gram-positive bacteria.
Source: RNAcentral